RNAcentral lists this unclassified non-coding RNA (976 nucleotides) under Hevea brasiliensis (rubber tree). Lineage: Eukaryota; Viridiplantae; Streptophyta; Magnoliopsida; Malpighiales; Euphorbiaceae. The record is from RNAcentral.
GCAAUUGCGAAAAAAAAAAAACAAAGCAACAGGCCACAACCACUGCAAUAAGGCCAGUGUCCAUUACACACAACUUCAAGCACCAUGUAAAUCUGCACACUAAGUAAAGCCCUUCUGUAAGUUACAAGAAAUUCUCAACUUUUGGCUUUCAUUGGGAAGACAUAGAAACUCCAUGCAUUAUUGCCUCUACUAAAGUACAAGUAAACUCAUUGCUACACCAAAAAGGAAAAAGUCAAUAUGUUAUGUUACAUAAUGCAAUUUUAAACAGCCAUUACAUUUCAACCACUGCAUAAUAGGGUUUCCCUAAUCAUACAUAUGACAACCAUAAAAGCCAUUAAAUAACUGUAAUAUUUGUGACAUACUAGCUGUUAUUCAUGAAUGAUAGCUCUAAUUCUUUGGUUAGAAUUCUCCAAGCCAAAUUUGGGGUAAGUCUUUCUAUGUCAUCAAAAAUAUUUAAGGCUUACAAUUAAGCUCAAGGCUACCUAUACAAAAAUCGUAAGCAAAAAACUAAGGCCAAAAUCAUGGUUUUGUAUCUCAUACUGUUUUUCUUUUGCUAAAAACUUAUUAUUAGAAUCCUCAAGUUCAACACAUAUAUAUGGUAUUCCACAUUUCUUUUUCCAUUAAGUUCGAUGCUACUUCCAUUCAGUUGUUGAGGCAUGAUUAUAGAACACAUGCUUCGUGAACAAGUCCCCUAAUUAGUACAAAUACAAUUUCCUAAGCAUACACUAAUUAACAAAUUGCCAUAACACAUUAAAACUAAUAGAUUAGUCGAUGAAAAUUUCAAGACUCAUAAUACGAAGCAAGCUGAUUGCUAGUAUCUCCUUGAUUGUUUAAUCAACAAGAUAACAUCCCCAUGUUCCUGCAUCAUGAUUGCUUGUUGAGAAGACAAAUAUUCAGUCUACAAAGCAUAAUUGCCACUCAAAUAAGCACAAAACAAUGAACAAAAAUAGAAAUCUACAUCCAAGGGGAAAAAGAA